GAUGAACGCUGACGGCGUGCCUAAUACAUGCAAGUCGAGCGAACAGACGAGGAGCUUGCUCCUCUGACGUUAGCGGCGGACGGGUGAGUAACACGUGGAUAACCUACCUAUAAGACUGGGGUAACUUCGGGAAACCGGAGCUAAUACCGGAUAAUAUAUUGAACCGCAUGGUUCAAUAGUGAAAGACGGUUUUGCGGUCACUUAUAGAUGGAUCCGCGCCGCAUUAGCUAGUUGGUAAGGUAACGGCUUACCAAGGCAACGAUGCGUAGGCGACCUGAGAGGGUGAUCGGCCACACUGGAACUGAGACACGGUCCAGACUCCUACGGGAGGCAGCAGUAGGGAAUCUUCCGCAAUGGGCGAAAGCCUGACGGAGCAACGCCGCGUGAGUGAUGAAGGUCUUCGGAUCGUAAAACUCUGUUAUUAGGGAAGAACAAAUGUGUAAGUAACUAUGCACGUCUUGACGGUACCUGAACAGAAAGCCACGGCUAACUACGUG
RNAcentral lists this ribosomal RNA (497 nucleotides) under uncultured bacterium. Its description in RNAcentral is "partial 16S ribosomal RNA". It matches the Rfam family "Bacterial small subunit ribosomal RNA", at positions 28 to 507 of the family's 1533-position model. The record is from RNAcentral.